This 87-nucleotide transfer RNA is filed under the name Pyramidobacter piscolens W5455. Its description in RNAcentral is "tRNA-Leu". It matches the Rfam family "tRNA". Rfam says of the family: Transfer RNA (tRNA) molecules are approximately 80 nucleotides in length. Their secondary structure includes four short double-helical elements and three loops (D, anti-codon, and T loops). Lineage: Bacteria; Thermotogati; Synergistota; Synergistia; Synergistales; Dethiosulfovibrionaceae. The record is from RNAcentral.
UGCGAGGGUGGCGGAAUUGGCAGACGCGCCAGACUUAGGAUCUGGUGCCUUCGGGCGUAGGGGUUCAAAUCCCCUCCUUCGCACCAA